GUUCCCUCAAAGGCCUUUCUGUCUCUGUUUGAUGUCCCCGACAGUGUAUAACUCCUGCCUCAGUUGGGAGAUGUGCAGCCUGAAGGAGUUGGUAAAUAAGGGGCCGUUAGUGAUAGGCGUCCCUUUGGCAGUGAGGAAUCCCCUCUCUUGCCAGAUGAUGGUGUGAGAAUGAAGAAUGUGAUAUGCAUAUUUGGAGUCUGUGUAAAUGUUGAUCCAUUUGCCUUUAGAAAGGGUUAGGACUCUGGUGAGAGCUAUGAGUUCUGCUUUUUGAGAGGAGGUUCCUGGAGGUAGGGGCUUAGCUUCAAUUACUUGGUCAAGGGAAACAACCUCUUACCUAGCAAUUUUGGGAGAGCCAGUGGGCCCAGAAGAGGAGGCAUCUAUAAAUAGUUGGUCAUUGGGGUCGGUGAGAGGCUCAGAGGAAAUGCUUGGAAAGUGUGGCUGCAGGUGAUCUAGGAUGUCAGUGCAAGAAUGAGUAGGAGGGGAAGGGGAUACGGGGAGUAAUGAUGCUGGCUUGAGGGGAGCACUUUUGGCAAUACUGAAUUCGGGAUUUUCGAUAAAGAGGGCAUGGAAUGAUCGAAUCCGGUAAGGAGGAAGGGAGCCUAAUGCUCAGGAGAAGAGGAAAUCCUGUAGAUUAUGAGGACUGUAGACAGUGUUAUUUUGACUGAAUGUUAGUUUCCUGGUUAUUUUUGGACCUAAAGUGGCUGCUGUUGCUAGCACUCUAAGACAGGUUGGCCAUCCUCUGACUGUGUUGUCUAAUUGUUUAGAGAGGUAGGCUACAGGGGCAAAGGAAGGAGGGUCUUCUUUCUGCUGCCCUAAGAUACUGAGGGCUAUUCCUUGGCUUUCGGCAGUAUAGAGAAUGAAAGGUUGGGAGAUACUAGGUAAGGACAGAGCUGGUGUAGUGACAAGAGCAGUUUGGAGUUCACGGAGCUGGGGAGUAUGUUAUGUGAGGAGUUUGGGGAUUAACUGAGAGGGCCUUUUGCCACUUCAUAGAGGGGGUGAGCUAGGAGGGCAAAGUUGGGAAUCUAUAUUCUAAAGAAGCCUGCUAGUCCUAGGAAGGAAAGGACUUCGCUGUUGGAGGAGGGCAGGGCAGAUUAUUUAUCUAUUAGUGCCACUUGGGUUUGGGUCAUAGCCCGGGCCCCAGGAGAAAGUUGAAUUCCUAAGUAGGUCACCAUGGAGGUGGAGAGUAGUGUGGAUUUUUGAAAGGAUGUUUCUGCCUAGGAGUAGAGUUGGACAUGAGGGCAGGACUAAGAAAGAGUGAGUGAAGGAAAAGGUGUGCAGGGAACAGAAGAGUGGAGGGGUGGCUCGGGGUUUGGAGACUUGCCCAUCAAUUCCUACAACAGAGACCUGGGAGGACUUGGUGGGUCCUGAAAAAUUAGGUAAAGCAGAGUAGGUUGUCCCAGUAUUGAAAAAAAAAAACAUACUGGCCUACCUGCCACCAUCAGGGUUACCCUUGGCUCGGAUGAAGAGAUGGUAGUUGCCAGGGCGUCCGUUCCAGGGCACCAUCAGUCUUCAGUGGCAAGGCCGAUGAGAUCUGAGUAGGAGGUUUUGGCCAGUUCAGGAAGGGAUGGGGGCAGUCCUUGUGGGGGCCACUCACAGUCUGACUUCCAGUGGCGUCCUCCGCAGAGGGGCACAGCCUGGUGGGCUUAUCUGGGUUAGGGCAUUGUCUGGACUAGUGGCCUUCACUGCCGCACUUGAAACAGGCACCAGGUGGAGGUGGAUUGCUAGGAGGCUUCCAUGUGGAGCUGCGCCCUGUUGCCUGCAGGGCCCCUGAUGGCAGAGGCAAGCGUUUGAAACUCUGCCUGUUUUUGCCUUUCUUUCCUCAUCACGAUUGUUAAAAGACUUUGAAGGCUAAAUUAAGAAGGUCUCGUUGUGGGGUUUGAGGGCUGUCGUCAAGCUUCUGAAGCUUGUGCCGAAUAUUGGGUGUGGAUUGGGAGAUAAAAUGGGUAUUAAGAACAAUAGUUCCUUCCUGGGAGGCAGGGUCAAUGUGGGUAUAUUUUUGGAAAGCCUCUGUAAGGCAGAAAAGGAAUUGAGCAAGAUUUUCAUCUGGUUUUGGGAAAUUUCUUUAAGAUUUUCAAAAUUUACAGCCUUAUGGGCAGCUUUGUUAAUGCCUGCAGUGACGCAAGUAAUUAUAUGGUUAUGGGAUGCUUGGCUGGAGUUUGUGGGUUGGUACUCCCAGGAAGGCUUUUCCCAGGUAACAGCAGCGGCUUCUACAGGCUUAGUAGGAUCUUGCCAAUGAAGAUCAUCAGCUUGUGCCUGUGCUGUGAGCCACACUCUUUUCUUCUCUUCUGGAAGGAGGGUAUAAAAGAGGAUAAUGUAGAGAUCAUGCCAAGUGAGUUCAUUAGAUUGGGACACUUGGCCUCUUCAGGAACUAUACAGAUGUUUCUACUCUUUACAGAAUAACCUACAGCAGCUGUGCAUUUUAACACUCCAUGGGGAAAAAUAUAACAGAAAAUACAGUGAAUAUGGAAUUCACACUGGUCAUUUAGAUUGCCAUACUGCCUGAAGCUUUGGGGACUCUUGGCUAUAUUAAAGCUUUAUGUCUGCCUUUUGGAACACAAAAAUAAAUAUUUUCUUUAGCUAGAAUAAUUUCAAAGAUGAUAUAAAGUACCAGAGACUGUAAGUACCAGAAAAUUCCUAGUAACACCACUUUCCAGAAGUUGCACUUUUGAAAUAAACUAUUCUUUUUUCUAAACAUUUAACUUCAGUUAACAUCAAAAGAGAAACAAUAUUUAUAAAUUUAUUAAUUAAAACUCUAUAAAAUCUAAUCUCUCUUUAGCUCUAAGACUAUUUUCCUGAGAACUGGAAUUCUGUGCAGUGCUAAGUUCUUAUUGAGAGAGAAAAUUGCUGUGAAACCUAAAC
This 2859-nucleotide long non-coding RNA is filed under the name Homo sapiens (human). RNAcentral's name for it is "HSALNT0284149". The record is from RNAcentral. Lineage: Eukaryota; Metazoa; Chordata; Mammalia; Primates; Hominidae.